RNAcentral lists this ribosomal RNA (408 nucleotides) under uncultured bacterium. RNAcentral describes it as "partial 16S ribosomal RNA". It matches the Rfam family "Bacterial small subunit ribosomal RNA", at positions 28 to 526 of the family's 1533-position model. The record is from RNAcentral.
GACGAACGCUGGCGGCGUGCUUAACACAUGCAAGUCGAACGAAGUGGCGAACGGGUGAGUAACGCGUAAUCAACCUGCCCUUCAGAGGGGGACAACAGUUGGAAACGACUGCUAAUACCGCAUACUGAAGGAGGGGAUUGCGUCUGAUUAGCUAGUUGGAGGGGUAACGGCCCACCAAGGCGAUGAUCAGUAGCCGGUCUGAGGGGAGUAACGGCCACAACGGGACUGAGAACAGGCCCAGAACCCCACGGGAGGCAGCAGGGGGGAAUCGUCCUACAGGGAGGAAAGGCUGACGGAGCAACGCCGCGUGAGUGAUGACGGCCUUCGGGUUGUAAAGCUCGGUUAAUCGGGGCGCGGUACCGGAAUAGAAAGCCACGGCUAACUACGUGCCAGCAGCCGCGGUAAUAC